This 2698-nucleotide long non-coding RNA is filed under the name Schizosaccharomyces pombe (fission yeast). Lineage: Eukaryota; Fungi; Ascomycota; Schizosaccharomycetes; Schizosaccharomycetales; Schizosaccharomycetaceae. The record is from RNAcentral.
UUACUAUUCAGUCCAGUUUUCUAACAUCAUUUGUCUGUUUAUUUAUAUCUAAAUUAGCUUUUCGAGUGCUGUAACAUUUUGGUAUAUAACAAAAGGAUAAAAAAUGGAAAUCAAAGAGCAUUGAUAAAUUAUCGGUCAGUAAAUGUCCUUUCAAAUUCCAAUGUAGUGCUUUCAAUUUUAUAAUAAAAAUUCAGUGAUUAGUAGCAUACUACAAUAAUUGACCUUAUUGUUGAAUUGAGGGAAACAACCGAAAAACUAUGUUAUGCAGCCAUAUAAGUGAUGUACGCAUGUUUGCAUAAAGUUAAAGACGUGGAUGAUUUUAUUAUAAUUAACAUAGAAAUAGUUCUAGAUUGGCAAAUGAAAAUGUGAAGUAAAUUUGUAUGCAAAUACAGGUCCGACCAGGGACAUGCAAAAUGAAUAAUAGUUUUUUCUUCAUAUAGAAGUGUCUUCUCGACUGUUAUCGAAAAUAAAGUGUAUUAUUAAAGGAUCGACCUUUUGUGAGGCAAGUAAAUCAGAAAAAACAUACAGCUUAUUUCGAUUAAUCCUUGAGAGCUCCAGAAGCAAUCCAACUGGCAUUUAUCCUUUGUCAGUAGUAUUGUUGUCAACGUUUGAUGAUUAUAUAGCAACCGUAUAACCUUAAUUAUUAGGUUAAAAUCUCCCUUAACAGGAAAACUUUCGCAAGUUAACGGAAACGAACAAUUCCAAAAUUUCAUUAGCAAUAAUUGUGAUGAAAGAGCAUAAUGUCUUUAUCCAAGAAUGCGCAUAAAUUAAGAAAACUUCCGUUUGCACAAGAAUAGGUCAAAGUCGAAAAUAAUUAAAUUUCGAAGAUCAUAAGAGUGGGAGAGGGAUAAGAUAUUAAACAAGGUGAAUUUGUUGGCAUUAAGCACUACUUUUAACAUUAGAUUGAGGAACCUGAAUGUACUGCUGGGGAGAUUUUUCUUUAACGAGGUUUUGUGAAUUGGGAGGAUUAGCAAUUUGAGGCACUGAAGCCGACUCUGUUUGUGAAGUUGGGGUGGGUAAUCUGUGUAAGUCAUACUGCUUUUCCAUUGUGGCGCUAGCAUCUAAUAUUGCGCGGACAGCUUGAUUAUUUUCUUCUGUUUUUGACUUUUGAGUCGGGGAGUUACUCAUUUUGCUUUCCAUUUCCUUGGCUUGCUUGUUCGCAGAGGCUUGUGGUAAAGUUGAAACACGUUGAACGGCGACAGGAGAAGAUUUACUGUUGGAAUUCGCAAGAUUCAUUGUCGGUGAGUCGGAAACUGAAGAGCGUAACUUAUUUACCAUAGAUUCUCUCCAGGAGCUAAUCCCUUCAAAACCAUUGACCAAAUCAACACCUUGUAAAUCAUGUAAUUGUUCAUCAAUCUUUUUCGGUGAAGAUUGCUGUAUUUGAGAGUAUAUCAAGUGACUAUUGACCGGAUUUCUGUAAGGUGAAAUUGUGUCAUAUGAACCUACUUGAGGCCAAUCGUGUGGAUUGGGAACUGCAACAUAUUUCCAAAAAGGUGCAGGAGAAGACGUUGGAUAUGUAGAAGAUCCAAUAGGAGAUCCAAAUGCAGCCUUUUUUGUUUGAGAAGCACUAUUAGCAUCUAAAGCAUAAUCAUGGGUGCUAAUAAUAUCAGAUAAUGCAGCAUGUGUAGGCGUUUUGUAGGUUUCCAUUUGCUUUUCUUCUGCUGAGGUUUCAGCAGUCGAGGGUGAGCCCACAUCUUUAGGAGUUGAAGGAGUUUGAUCACGAGCAGAUGUAGUGGAUGAGGCUGGCUCCGCCGCCGGAAUAGAGGUGUCCUUCAUUUUCGGAAGGAUGGGAAUUGGUAAUGAUGGAGAACCCUCUCUCUUUUUUGCUAAUAAUGGCACAGGAGAGGAGGGCGAGCGUUUACGCGGUGUUUUUCUAGUCUUUGCAAUAAACUCUUCGCGAAAUUCAGGCACAAUCGACCACUUCAUUCCCUUCCCCUGCUCACCUGACUUCCGUGGAACCUUUCGAAAUGCUUUGUUGAGAGAUAAAUUGUGACGGAUAGAAUUCUGCCAUCCACUUUUUGUUGUGCGAUAAUAUGGGUAAUGUGUUGAAAUCCAUGAAUAUAUGUUAGAAAGAGUCAUCAUGCAUUCAGAAGAAGAUAAAAUUGCUUGUGCAAUCAUAACAGAAUAACUGUAUGGUGGUUUUUUAUUAUCACCAUAUUCAGCAGCAUCGUUUACGGCUGCGGAAAUUUCAGACUUUAUAGCAUCCUCCUUUAUAGUGCUUUCGUCAGUUUGCUUUUGCUCAGCUGCAUUGGGUAGUACGAACAUCAUUUGUAAACCCGCUACUUCGAGUAUAGAUCUAGUAGAUAAUUAGUAAGACGAAAAAGAAAUAAAAAAAAAUAAUUGGCAUAAUUUCCUGCAUUUAUUUGAACUAGGACGGAAAUAAUUAUUUUCUUGAUAAUUUGACAAAUCCUUAACGCGCAUUUAUAAAAUAACCAAACAUUCGUUUAAAAUUGACAAAUAACACGAGAAAACCAUAGAACUUAUGAAAGAGUAAAGCAUAAAUUAUGCGCUGCUGAAACCAUCAAUAUUCCGUCCUGUCGCAAAUCACGACGAACCAACACUAUUCUAGUAAAUGAUUUUUAACAUACCCACUUGUAAGCUUGACUGUUUCCCCAUUCUUGAAUAACUUGCCAUCUACUUUAAUGCCAUUUCGACCGUAAACUGAGCAAUUCCAUGUUUGGUCAUCCAAAUCAUAUUC